This 253-nucleotide ribosomal RNA is filed under the name uncultured bacterium. RNAcentral's name for it is "partial 16S ribosomal RNA". It matches the Rfam family "Bacterial small subunit ribosomal RNA", at positions 524 to 776 of the family's 1533-position model. The record is from RNAcentral.
UACGUAGGGUGCGAGCGUUAAUCGGAAUUACUGGGCGUAAAGCGUGCGCAGGCGGCUUUGCAAGACAGAUGUGAAAUCCCCGGGCUCAACCUGGGAACUGCAUUUGUGACUGCAAGGCUAGAGUACGGCAGAGGGGGAUGGAAUUCCGCAUGUAGCAGUGAAAUGCGUAGAUAUGCGGAGGAACACCGAUGGCGAAGGCAAUCCCCUGGACCUGUACUGACGCUCAUGCACGAAAGCGUGGGGAGCAAACAGG